AUGUGCUGUCUCUUUGUGUUCUUUUUAAUACCACCAUUCAGAUAUUUGUUUCUGUCUCUCAGCCCAAGCUUCUGAGCAACUGGUACAUUUGGAGUGUGACAGCAUACCACACCAUGCAUGGGACAAACCAAGGUGCCUUGCAGUGUCCCAGAAUCCAGCACUGUUGCCUCAAGGAAGAGAAAGAAGACCAGGUCCCCAGGGCUUUUCAAACUAGCCUGGCUUUCAAGGACAUAGGGCACAGGUUAAAUGGCUAUUAUAACAGCCCAUUAUAACCUGGGCAAAGGUCAGUCUAAGCCACCGCUCACAUUUUGCUUGUGCUAACAGCUGGCCCUCAACAGAAUUCUAGUGUGUCCACACAAGCUGCCCACACAGAAUCUCCACUGACCCAACAGUUUGAAGAUCCAGCCUAGGGAGUGGCACUCUGCAACUAUAGACUCCUUGACUGCACUGCUGCUCACUUCAGAGCAAAGUAGGAUGUGGUCCUCUUCCCUGCUACCUCCUCUUUCUCAGUGAGAGUCUCCUUAAGGGACCUUCAAAAUCAAGAGAACUGAAAACUUUUGUUUCCCAAAGCAUUCAAGCUGCCAGGCAAUUGCACAAAAGGCAGACAGCGGUUGUCGUGUUUGAAAGGAAAUGGCUGAGAACACUGAGACCAAGAGUAUAUGCUGACAUGGUCUUUUGCAGAUGGAGGAAAAAAAUGCGGAGGGAAAUCUUGCAGCUGGAAACUUUUGGAGCCACCCGUAGGAAUUAAACUUCAUCAAGCUGCAGUGGCAUGUCUGAGCUAAAGUAGAAGAGAGUCAGCCUCUCUGAACUUCUGAUCUUUGCCCUUCAGCUUAACCAUACAUUUGUUGGACAGCAGAAAGCAGGGUGGAGGGAAUGGGGUGAGGGCUGGGGCUUGAAGCUGACUGCAGGUGUCCAGAGCCUCCCUUCAGGUGGGCUGGAAGAGACAAGACUAGCACAUCGCCUGGCUGGCCAUACAGCCCUUCAGCUGCAGCCCUGGGAGCCAACACUCUGGUUGAAACAUGCUCUUCAAACCCCUUUGAGCAGAGUGGUCUCUGAGUAGACAGUUGACUGAAAUGUAAACAGCCAACUUACUUCAAGUCUUCACAGGUUCAUUCCCAUGCUGAUCACAGUUAUUCACCAGCUGUGAUUUACAUGUGUUGUGACUUUUCUAAGAGCCCUCUGUGGGCCCAGGAGGACAGAAAAAUAUUAGUACAUUUUGAUUUUACAGACACUGAGAGUUAAAAUCACUUUUCUGAAGUUCAGAGUGAACUGGUAACUAGACCAAUAUAGAAACUACUCAUUCCUAAGACUGUUUUCAAUGGCUAGCCAGCACUUCCUUUCACUUAGUUUACUGUUAAACCUAGAGGCAUAACUCAGAAAUCCAUAUACCAAGGGGACUGCUCCCUCACAGAACUCUAUUCAAUAUUUAUAGCAUGUCCUUAUUAUGGUGAUCAU
Molecule: long non-coding RNA, 1455 nt
Organism: Vidua macroura (Pin-tailed whydah)
Lineage: Eukaryota; Metazoa; Chordata; Aves; Passeriformes; Viduidae
Exons: 4
Source: RefSeq, a predicted model, not a curated record